Non-coding RNA from Cinara cedri, 459 nucleotides. NCBI's taxonomy places the organism in Eukaryota, Metazoa, Arthropoda, Insecta, Hemiptera, Aphididae. The record is from the annotation of a GenBank genome assembly.
GUCUUGCUAUCGAUGGAAAUGCCGCCCCAGAACAUGCAUGAUCCACCUCCAUACUCCACUGUCUCCUCGGUACAGGUUUGUGCAAACCCUUCGCCCUGCCUUCGGUACACUUUCCUUUGUUUGUCAUUGCUGUAUAUACACACCCUUGUUUCAUCAGAAAAGAGCACAGUCUUCCAUUGGUCAAGCGUCCAAUUAAAAUGUUCACGGGCAAAAUGUAACCGUUCUUUGCGGUGCUGUGCAGUCAGUUUUGGACCGGUAGCAGGUCUGCAGGCCAAAACUUUUUGUUCUCCUAACCUUUCCUUCGUUUGUCAUUGCUGAAUAAACACACCUUUGUUUCAUCCGAAAAGAGCACAGUCUUCCAAUGGUCGAGAGUCCAAUUAACGUGUUCACGGGCAAACUGUAACCAUUAUUUGCGGUGCUGUGUAGUCAGUUUCGGACCGGUAGCAGGUCUGCGGGCCA